Pelobates cultripes (western spadefoot toad) is the source of this 216-nucleotide non-coding RNA. NCBI's taxonomy places the organism in Eukaryota, Metazoa, Chordata, Amphibia, Anura, Pelobatidae. The record is from the annotation of a GenBank genome assembly.
UUUUUUUUUAUCCACAUUAGGUUCUGUACAUUAGUCACAUUGUGCCUAACUUUUAAGAAACAUUAAUAUGUAUAAUAAGGUGCGCUCGUAGGUCUGUCAUCUGUGGUGGUUUAUGUUGUUUUGGUGUGCAAUCUAGGUGGCAGGGGGAGUUGAGUCUUUCCCCUGUGGGAGUGUAUAUUGACAGUUUGCCUGACCGCCCUUGUCGUUUUGAGGGUU